UUGUCCUACGGGGCGCAGCAGUGAGGAAUAUUGGUCAAUGGUCGGGAGACUGAACCAGCCAAGUCGCGUGAGGGAUGACGGUCCUAUGGAUUGUAAACCUCUUUUGUCAGGGAGCAAAGGGCGCCACGUGUGGCGCUUUGCGAGUACCUGAAGAAAAAGCAUCGGCUAACUCCGUGCCAGCAGCCGCGGUAAUACGGAGGAUGCGAGCGUUAUCCGGAUUUAUUGGGUUUAAAGGGUGCGCAGGCGGAAUGUCAAGUCAGCGGUAAAAUUUCGGGGCUCACCCCCGUCGUGCCGUUGAAACUGGC
This 305-nucleotide ribosomal RNA is filed under the name uncultured bacterium. Its description in RNAcentral is "bacterial SSU rRNA". It matches the Rfam family "Bacterial small subunit ribosomal RNA", at positions 334 to 637 of the family's 1533-position model. The record is from RNAcentral.